AAAUUUUCUAGAAGUUUCGUUUGAUUCUAGGAUAUUGGUUUUCUCCUUAAUAAGGUUGGGUUGGGUGGUGGGGAGGAGGCUGAGAGGAGACAGAGCUGUGUGUAAAUAAGAUCCUUUUAGUUUUCCCACAGCCAAUCCAAGCCAGAUUCAGUAGCUGCAAGAUCAGAGACAAUUGAUAAAGCCUCGAAAGAGCGCAGCUCCUGCCUCCGUUAGGAUCUAUGCACAUGAGACAAUUUUUGCCACUUCCUGAAGUCACACUGUCAUUUUCAGAAGGCAGCUGGUGCUUUGCUGGGGCUCCCGUGCUGUGCAGAGCUGCUGUCCUCAGUCAAGGAGAUGCCCUGGCUCACGCCAGCCAUUGGCCACGGUUCAGGGAACAGAGCAAAGCACAGUGUUUGAAUUUGCUCAUUGUCAAUUUGCUGGUUGUGUUCUCUACAGUUUUAUCUUCAGCAUUUUUGAAAAUAUAUGAUACAUAUUUUAAUAAGUAUAAUCGGUUUGUUCCAGGAAUUCUUGGUUUUUUGAUGAUGGACCAAAUUCCUGAAUUAUUUAUAACUAUAGCUAAAAAUUAUUAUGUACUCAUCACAUGGCACUUGAAAUCCUUGAAUCUUUAAAUUGAUUCCAGUAAAGCAAAACUUGGGAAGAGUCAGAACUGCCCGUAUUGUCCAUAAGGAAUCCGUAGUUUGACGUGCGUCAUUUUAAAAAGCCUCCCAGAUGGAAGGCAUGUUCACAGUCACUGCCCCAAGUGUUUUGUGUUACUCAGGCAUCAUCAUGAAUAAUUCUGUGAGGUCCUGAUGUAUUUGAAAAGCCUGGAAGCUGAUAACUGCUCUGAGUGGCCCCCCAAAUAAGGGUUCUCUGGGACCCUCAGUGGACAAUGUGUUCCUUUCCUUGUUGAGAGGCCUGACCAAGUUUAAGUACUGGGGCAGGUGAAUGAUGCUUUAACCAUGUGCUGCAACUCAUCUCUAGCCUUUGCUGGUGUCUGAGUCAGUCAGGAAGCUUGCUAAAGGCCAGGGGUCCUCCGCUGGCCACACAGCUGUCUCAGGACAAACCCCCUCUUUGGCCACUGUGACCACAGAAGACCCAGGACCAUUUACCUCAAACAAUAAUACAGGGCAGUUUUUGUGAGGGCAACAUAAAAAGAAAUUAAGGCUUGAGUUUAAAAGCAACAAGACAACAACAAUUACAGUUUAAACUUUUAUGGAGACAGUCAAGACCACAAGCCAAAGGGCAGAUUGAAAGUGGUGACUUCGAUGCUCAUCUGCCUGUGCCACAGUGUGAGAGAAUAAAUGAUACAUUACAUGGCCCCGCGUGCUGAGACGCUGACGUUGAAAUGGCUGCCGGUUUAUCUUUCAGCAGCCCGAGUUGGGGCACCUUCUCAGUCUGUAACAGCCUCAGUUCCUUCCAACUUCCUGAAAUUUCAAGAUCAAAAUGAUCCUUCCCCAAAUCAUAUGAAUAUAAGAAAGUUUUCUUCCUCUGCCAUCGGGGUGGUCUGCCCAUCCGGGGAACAUGUAAGGGCUCGUGUGUAUGUGCUGGGAUGUCCUAAGACCUUUAAAGUCAUUAUCACCGUUAAUUCUUAUAGCAACCUUAGGAUGUGGGUGUUUGUAGAUGGCCAAACUGAGCCUUAGGAAACUAAUUAACUUCCUCAAGGCACAGAGCUGGUAAGCAGUGAAGCAACAGUAGCACUUGGAGAUAGGUAGAACGCUCGUAACUGGUGUUCUUUCUAAAGUGCCUUUAAUGUCUUUUUGGGACUUUGAGCCAUGGAACUUACUAGUUCACUUAAGAACUCGUGGUCGCCUUGGGAGUCCUUCCUGGAGAGUCAGAGAAACUGAGCCUCGGGAAUCUUGACUUCCCACUGCCGGAGGUGAGCCCCACUGUCCCGCGGCCGUCAAGGAUGGGCUCAGACAGGCUGAAGCCCACCUGCCCACCCACCACUGUCCCAACCAACCAUUCACUCCCAAUCCACCACAACAGCCUUGCCAGGAGCAACCACUUACUGCCUAACUGCGGGGCACGUUUUCUUGAAAAUCCCCAUCCAACUGGUGUUUUUCAGAAAGCAUUCGAGAGAGCAACCUAGCACUCAUUGGUCA
RNAcentral lists this long non-coding RNA (2081 nucleotides) under Equus asinus (donkey). RNAcentral's name for it is "lncRNA (ENSEASG00005035907.1)". The record is from RNAcentral. Lineage: Eukaryota; Metazoa; Chordata; Mammalia; Perissodactyla; Equidae.